Molecule: ribosomal RNA, 877 nt
Filed under: uncultured eukaryote
Lineage: Eukaryota
Description: SSU rRNA
Rfam family: Eukaryotic small subunit ribosomal RNA
Source: RNAcentral
CGGUGUUCAACUGGCGUGUCCGCGGGACGUCCUGCCGGUGGGCUUAGCCCGCAAGGGCGGCCCAACUUCAAAUCCCAUCGCGGUGCUCUUCACUGAGUGUCGAGGUGGGCCGGCACGUUUACUUUGAACAAAUUAGAGUGCUUAAAGCAGGCUAAAACUUCGCCUGAAUACUGUGUGCAUGGAAUAAUGGAAUAGGACCUCGGUUCUAUUUUGUUGGUUUUCGGAACCCCGAGGUAAUGAUUAAUAGGAACGGAUGGGGGCAUUCGUAUUGCGACGUUAGAGGUGAAAUUCUUGGAUCGUCGCAAGACGGACAGAAGCGAAAGCAUUUGCCAAAAACGCUUUCAUUGAUCAAGAACGAAAGUUAGAGGUUCGAAGGCGAUCAGAUACCGCCCUAGUUCUAACCAUAAACGAUGCCAGCUAGCGAUCCGUCGACGUUCCUCCGAUGACUCGACGGGCAGCUUCCGGGAAACCAAAGCUUUUGGGUUCCGGGGGAAGUAUGGUUGCAAAGCUGAAACUUAAAGGAAUUGACGGAAGGGCACCACCAGGAGUGGAGCCUGCGGCUUAAUUUGACUCAACACGGGAAACCUCACCAGGCCCGGACACCGGAAGGAUUGACAGAUUGAGAGCUCUUUCUUGAUUCGGUGGGUGGUGGUGCAUGGCCGUUCUUAGUUGGUGGAGCGAUUUGUCUGGUUAAUUCCGAUAACGAACGAGACUCUAGCCUGCUAACUAGGCGUAUUUUCGACAUCUCAAAGGUCCGUCGUCCCGGCCCUCGGGUCGUGGGCGUGCGCGAUUUUUACUGUCGGCGUACUGUCAAUUCUUCUUAGAGGGACAGGUGGCUUCUAGCCGCACGAGAUUGAGCAAUAACAGGUCUGUGAUG